CAAUGUUUUUAUCAUCGUGCAGUGCAAUCUGCUCUGUCAUUUUUAUUUAGAAGUUAAAAUUCUGAAGGGCUUGAAGUUGAAAAUGAAGCUCAAGUUUGCUCAUUCCCUUAUGUUUAUGCUUGUCCUGUCGUCCUUUUUAGACAUUGGGUUGAGCUAUCAAGGCCGAAAGUUGAUGGAUGAGCUUCAACUUCCAAGUGGAAUAUGUAAAGAUGUAUUUAAUAUAGAUUUCGGCAAAGUUAAUGUUUGCACUCCGAACUAUUGCGCUGGAGUUUGUGCAUCAAAGAAAUACAAAAGACUCCUUUCAGCAAGAUGUUCAGGUUAUCUGGAUUGUGAGUGCACUCACACCUGCUAAUUUAAAUGUAAGAUUGUAUUUCAAUGAAUAAUAUAUUAUGAUAAAUAAAAGUGGCUUAAGAAUUUGGAGAUAUGAAA
Long non-coding RNA from Mangifera indica (mango), 429 nucleotides. RefSeq lists it as uncharacterized. NCBI's taxonomy places the organism in Eukaryota, Viridiplantae, Streptophyta, Magnoliopsida, Sapindales, Anacardiaceae. The record is from RefSeq and is a predicted model, not a curated record. The transcript is spliced from 2 exons.